CCAUGUACCAAGCUCCAUCUUCACAAGAUAGGCUUUAGCCUUAGGCUAGCUAAGUGACUUACCAGUGGAUUAUCCACAUCACAUUUGGAGUUUGCUCUCUGCACCUCUAUGUAUUUCUACUUGAGGUAGUCGUGUGUUUUGCUAUUCUAUGUGCUUGGAUAUCUGGUGAGAUCUAGGCUCCUUAGCAAGGACUAUGGUGCCAUUGUCUUUGCAGUAUGG
RNAcentral lists this long non-coding RNA (219 nucleotides) under Elaeis guineensis (African oil palm). RNAcentral describes it as "long non-coding RNA (EGUI_LNC050347)". The record is from RNAcentral. Lineage: Eukaryota; Viridiplantae; Streptophyta; Magnoliopsida; Arecales; Arecaceae.